GAUGAACGCUGGCGGCGUGCCUAAUACAUGCAAGUCGAGCGAACAGACGAGGAGCUUGCUCCUCUGACGUUAGCGGCGGACGGGUGAGUAACACGUGGAUAACCUACCUAUAAGACUGGGAUAACUUCGGGAAACCGGAGCUAAUACCGGAUAACAUGUUGAACCGCAUGGUUCAACAGUGAAAGACGGUCUUGCUGUCCCUUAUAGAUGGAUCCGCGCCGCAUUAGCUAGUUGGUAAGGUAACGGCUUACCAAGGCAACGAUGCGUAGCCGACCUGAGAGGGUGAUCGGCCACACUGGAACUGGGACACGGUCCAGACUCCUAAGGGAGGCAGCAGUAGGGAAUCUUCCGCAAUAGGCGAAAGCCUGACGGAGCAACGCCGCGUGAGUGAAAAAGGUCUUCGGAUCGUAAAACUCUGUUAUUAGGGAAGAACAAAUGUGUAAGUAAAUAUGCACGUCUUGACGGUACCUAAUCAGAAAGCCACGGCUAACUACGUG
RNAcentral lists this ribosomal RNA (497 nucleotides) under uncultured bacterium. RNAcentral's name for it is "partial 16S ribosomal RNA". It matches the Rfam family "Bacterial small subunit ribosomal RNA", at positions 28 to 507 of the family's 1533-position model. The record is from RNAcentral.